Falco peregrinus (peregrine falcon) is the source of this 234-nucleotide long non-coding RNA. RefSeq lists it as uncharacterized. The record is from RefSeq and is a predicted model, not a curated record. The transcript has 3 exons. NCBI's taxonomy places the organism in Eukaryota, Metazoa, Chordata, Aves, Falconiformes, Falconidae.
CUUCUUCAGAUGGUAUGUGUUGUUCAGUAUCCAGAUAGAGUGAGACAAGGAACUAGGAACAAAGAUUUGAAAUAUUACAGUACCUUUCCCAACGAUUUUCCACACUGUGUUUUCUUUUUGACUGCUGGGGAAAACUGAGCUGACAUUUUGAGAGAUGAUCAUUGGACUUUAGUUGCAACUUUGCUAAUUCAUGUUACAUAUGUGACAUUGCCCAAUUGCAGAAGGAUAUGGCCA